RNAcentral lists this ribosomal RNA (433 nucleotides) under uncultured bacterium. RNAcentral's name for it is "partial 16S ribosomal RNA". The stretch from base 45 to 433 matches the Rfam family "Bacterial small subunit ribosomal RNA", at positions 39 to 507 of the family's 1533-position model. The record is from RNAcentral.
GGGGGGGGGGGGGGGGGGGGGUGGCGGGGGCGGGGGGGGGGGGGGCGGCGGGUCUGGCGGCGGACGGGGGGGUGACGCGUGGGAAGGUGCCCUUCUCUACGGAAUAGCCCUGGGACACUGGGAGUAAGACCGUAUACGCCCUAUUGGGGAAAGAUUUAUCGGAGAAGGAUCAGCCCGCGUUGGAUUAGGUAGUUGGUGGGGUAAUGGCCUACCAAGCCGACGAUCCAUAGCUGGUUUGAGAGGAUGAUCAGCCACACUGGGACUGAGACACGGCCCAGACUCCUACGGGAGGCAGCAGUGGGGAAUCUUAGACAAUGGGGGCAACCCUGAUCUAGCCAUGCCGCGUGAGUGAUGAAGGCCUUAGGGUUGUAAAGCUCUUUCAGCUGGGAAGAUAAUGACGGUACCAGCAGAAGAAGCCCCGGCUAACUCCGUG